GACGAACGCUGGCGGCGUGCCUAAUACAUGCAAGUAGAACGCUGAAGGAGGAGCUUGCUCUUCUGGAUGAGUUGCGAACGGGUGAGUAACGCGUAGGUAACCUGCCUGGUAGCGGGGGAUAACUAUUGGAAACGAUAGCUAAUACCGCAUAACAACAGUUGUUGCAUGACAGCUGUUUAAAAGAUGCAAUUGCAUCACUACCAGAUGGACCUGCGUUGUAUUAGCUAGUUGGUGAGGUAACGGCUCACCAAGGCAACGAUACAUAGCCGACCUGAGAGGGUGAUCGGCCACACUGGGACUGAGACACGGCCCAGACUCCUACGGGAGGCAGCAGUAGGGAAUCUUCGGCAAUGGACGGAAGUCUGACCGAGCAACGCCGCGUGAGUGAAGAAGGUUUUCGGAUCGUAAAGCUCUGUUGUAAGAGAAGAACGAGUGUGAGAGUGGAAAGUUCACACUGUGACGGUAUCUUACCAGAAAGGGACGGCUAACUACGUGCCAGCAGCCGCGGUAAUACGUAGGUCCCGAGCGUUGUCCGGAUUUAUUGGGCGUAAAGCGAGCGCAGGCGGUUAGAUAAGUCUGAAGUUAAAGGCUGUGGCUUAACCAUAGUACGCUUUGGAAACUGUUUAACUUGAGUGCAAGAGGGGAGAGUGGAAUUCCAUGUGUAGCGGUGAAAUGCGUAGAUAUAUGGAGGAACACCGGUGGCGAAAGCGGCUCUCUGGCUUGUAACUGACGCUGAGGCUCGAAAGCGUGGGGAGCAAACAGG
RNAcentral lists this ribosomal RNA (763 nucleotides) under uncultured Streptococcus sp. RNAcentral's name for it is "bacterial SSU rRNA". It matches the Rfam family "Bacterial small subunit ribosomal RNA", at positions 28 to 776 of the family's 1533-position model. Lineage: Bacteria; Bacillati; Bacillota; Bacilli; Lactobacillales; Streptococcaceae. The record is from RNAcentral.